RNAcentral lists this ribosomal RNA (450 nucleotides) under uncultured bacterium. RNAcentral describes it as "partial 16S ribosomal RNA". It matches the Rfam family "Bacterial small subunit ribosomal RNA", at positions 354 to 796 of the family's 1533-position model. The record is from RNAcentral.
GUGGGGAAUAUUGGACAAUGGGCGAAAGCCUGAUCCAGCCAUGCCGCGUGUGUGAAGAAGGUCUUCGGAUUGUAAAGCACUUUAAGUUGGGAGGAAGGGUAGUAACCUAAUACGUUGCUACUUUGACGUUACCGACAGAAUAAGCACCGGCUAACUUCGUGCCAGCAGCCGCGGUAAUACGAAGGGUGCAAGCGUUAAUCGGAAUUAUUGGGCGUAAAGCGCGCGUAGGUGGUUCAGUAAGUUGGAAGUGAAAUCCCCGGGCUCAACCUGGGAACUGCUUUCAAAACUGCUGAGCUAGAGUACGGUAGAGGGUGGUGGAAUUUCCUGUGUAGCGGUGAAAUGCGUAGAUAUAGGAAGGAACACCAGUGGCGAAGGCGACCACCUGGACUGAUACUGACACUGAGGUGCGAAAGCGUGGGGAGCAAACAGGAUUAGAAACCCGGGUAGUCC